AGAGCGAACGCUGGCGGCAGGCCUAACACAUGCAAGUCGAGCGCCCGUAGCAAUACGGGAGCGGCAGACGGGAUAGUAACACGUGGGAACGCGCCCUUCGGUUCGGAAUAACUCAGGGAAACUUGAGCUAAUACCGGAUACGCCCUUACGGGGAAAGAUUUAUUGCCGAAGGAACGGCCCGCGUCCGAUUAGCUAGUUGGUGAGGUAAUGGCUCACCAAGGCUACGAUCGGUAGCUGGUCUGAGAGGAUGACCAGCAUCACUGGGACUGAGACACGGCCCAGACUCCUACGGGAGGCAGCAGUGGGGAAUAUGGACAAUGGGCGCAAGCCUGAUCCAGCCAUGCCGCGUGGAUGAUGAAGGCCUUAGGGUGUAAAGUCCGUUUUAACGGGGAAGAUAAUGACGGUACCGUAGAAUAAGCCCCGGCUAACUUCGUGCCAGCAGCCGC
RNAcentral lists this ribosomal RNA (446 nucleotides) under uncultured bacterium. RNAcentral describes it as "SSU rRNA". It matches the Rfam family "Bacterial small subunit ribosomal RNA", at positions 26 to 518 of the family's 1533-position model. The record is from RNAcentral.